CCCAAAAAAUUCUCAGGCGCUUGAGAGAACUCGGUUGAAGGAACUCGGCAAAUUGACACCGUAACUUCGGAAGAAGGUGUGCCGCUAGUAGGUGAAGGUGUACAACUGGAGCCCAACGCGGUUGCAAAAAAUAGGUGGCUGCGACUGUUUAUUAAAAACACAGCACUCUGCAAACACGAAAGUGGACGUAUAGGGUGUGACGCCUGCCCGGUGCCGGAAGGUUAAAUGAUGGGGUGCAAGCUCUUGAUUGAAGCCCCGGUAAACGGCGGCCGUAACGAUAACGGUCCUAAGGUAGCGAAAUUCCUUGUCGGGUAAGUUCCGACCUGCACGAAUGGCGUAACGAUGGCCACACUGUCUCCAACCGAGACUCAGCGAAGUUGAAAUGUUUGUGAUGAUGCAAUCUACCCGCGGCUAGACGGAAAGACCCCGUGCACCUUUACUGUAGCUUUGCAUGGGACUGUGAACCGAUCUGUGUAGGAUAGCUGGGAGGCUUUGAAGCGGGGGCGCUAGCUCUCGUGGAGCCGACGUAAAUACCAGCCUGGUUUGUUUGCGGUUCUAACCUACGCUCGUGAAUCCGGGCGGGGGACAGUGCAUGGUAGGCAGUUUGACUGGGGCGGUCUCCUCCCAAAGAGUAACGGAGGAGCUCGAAGGUACGCUAGGCACGGUCGGAAAUCGUGCUGAUAGUGCAAUGGCAUAAGCGUGCUUAACUGCGAGACUGACAAGUCGAGCAGGUGCGAAAGCAGGACAUAGUGAUCCGGUGGUUCUGUAUGGAAGGGCCAUCGCUCAACGGAUAAAAGGUACGCCGGGGAUAACAGGCUGAUGACCCCCAAGAGUUCAUAUCGACGGGGUCGUUUGGCACCUCGAUGUCGGCUCAUCUCAUCCUGGGGCUGUAGCCGGUCCCAAGGGUAUGGCUGUUCGCCAUUUAAAGAGGUACGUGAGCUGGGUUUAAAACGUCGUGAGACAGUUUGGUCCCUAUCUGCCGUGGGCGUUGGAUGUUUGAAGGGGGCUGCUCCUAGUACGAGAGGACCGGAGUGGACGAACCUCUGGUGUACCGGUUGUGACGCCAGUCGCAUCGCCGGGUAGCUAAGUUCGGAAGAGAUAACCGCUGAAAGCAUCUAAGCGGGAAACUCGCCUUAAGAUGAGACAUCCCGGGGACUUGAUCCCCCUAAAGGGUCGCGGAAGACCACCGCGUUGAUAGGUCGGAUGUGGAAGCGCAGUAAUGCGUUAAGCUAACCGAUACUAAUUGCCCGUGAGGCUUGACCCU
This 1264-nucleotide ribosomal RNA is filed under the name metagenome. RNAcentral describes it as "bacterial LSU rRNA". It matches the Rfam family "Bacterial large subunit ribosomal RNA", at positions 1667 to 2925 of the family's 2925-position model. The record is from RNAcentral.